CCCUUAGAUGUUCUGGGCCGCACGCGCGCUACACUGACGAUGGCAACGAGUUUUUCCUUCGCCGAAAGGUGUGGGUAAUCUUUUGAAACAUCGUCGUGCUGGGGAUAGAUCAUUGCAAUUUUUGAUCUUGAACGAGGAAUUCCUAGUAAGCGCGAGUCAUCAGCUCGCGUUGAUUACGUCCCUGCCCUUUGUACACACCGCCCGUCGCACCUACCGAUUGAACGUUCCGGUGAGACCUUGGGAUUUGGUCUUUGAUACUUUAUUGUGUCGUUGACCGAAAAACUUGAGCAAACCUUAACGUUUAGAGGAAGGUGAAGUCGUAACA
This 325-nucleotide ribosomal RNA is filed under the name uncultured eukaryote. Its description in RNAcentral is "partial 18S ribosomal RNA". It matches the Rfam family "Eukaryotic small subunit ribosomal RNA", at positions 1470 to 1796 of the family's 1831-position model. The record is from RNAcentral.